Molecule: transfer RNA, 541 nt
Filed under: uncultured Prochlorococcus sp.
Lineage: Bacteria; Bacillati; Cyanobacteriota; Cyanophyceae; Synechococcales; Prochlorococcaceae
Description: partial 16S-23S ribosomal RNA intergenic spacer
Rfam family: tRNA (bases 211-283)
Source: RNAcentral
CAGGGAGACAACAAAAUGUUUAAUAUUAUUAUUUUGUCACCUUAGGUCGAUCGGUAUCUCACAUUCUUAUUUGUUAAGAAUUUCAUUUCCUAAGUUUUUCUAGGUCACACCCAUUAUUUUUCCUGGGCCAUUAGCUCAGGUGGUUAGAGCGCACCCCUGAUAAGGGUGAGGUCCCUGGUUCAAGUCCAGGAUGGCCCAUAUCUCUAUGUUGGGGGUAUAGCUCAGUUGGUAGAGCGCCUGCUUUGCAAGCAGGAUGUCAGCGGUUCGAGUCCGCUUACCUCCACUGAUUACCACCUCUUCCAUAACCGGUAGAAAGGAAAUGUUUUGAGUUGUGAUCAUUAUUCUGAACGAAUCUAGCUUCCUAAUGAAAUCAUUAAGAUGCUGGACUCAUUGAAUUAAUUUCAUUGUUUUCAGAGAACCUUGACAACUGCAUAGAUUAUUUUUAAAGACAAUAAGCAUCUUUAAUGAUGCAGAUUUAUUAUUUGUGCGAAUGCAUUAAUAACAAUUCUAUUAAGCUGAUGCUUCAAUUUUUGAAGUUAUU